Molecule: ribosomal RNA, 207 nt
Filed under: uncultured delta proteobacterium
Lineage: Bacteria; Deltaproteobacteria
Description: partial 16S ribosomal RNA
Rfam family: Bacterial small subunit ribosomal RNA
Source: RNAcentral
CGUGUAGGCGGCUUUGCAAGUCGGGUGUGAAAGCCCUCAGCUCAACUGAGGAAGUGCGCCCGAAACUGCAGAGCUUGAGUGCCGGAGAGGGUGGCGGAAUUCCCCAAGUAGAGGUGAAAUUCGUAGAUAUGGGGAGGAACACCGGUGGCGAAGGCGGCCACCUGGACGGCAACUGACGCUGAGACGCGAAAGCGUGGGGAGCAAACA